This 253-nucleotide ribosomal RNA is filed under the name uncultured bacterium. RNAcentral describes it as "partial 16S ribosomal RNA". It matches the Rfam family "Bacterial small subunit ribosomal RNA", at positions 524 to 776 of the family's 1533-position model. The record is from RNAcentral.
UACGAAGGGGGCUAGCGUUGCUCGGAAUCACUGGGCGUAAAGCGCACGUAGGCGGAUCUUUAAGUCAGGGGUGAAAUCCCGGAGCUCAACUCCGGAACUGCCUUCGAUACUGAAGAUCUUGAGUUCGGGAGAGGUGAGUGGAACUGCGAGUGUAGAGGUGAAAUUCGUAGAUAUUCGCAAGAACACCAGUGGCGAAGGCGGCUCACUGGCCCGAUACUGACGCUGAGGCACGAAAGCGUGGGGAGCAAACAGG